UAAUACGUAGGGUGCAAGCGUUAAUCGGAAUUACUGGGCGUAAAGCGUGCGCAGGCGGUUUUGUAAGACAGGCGUGAAAUCCCCGGGCUUAACCUGGGAAUUGCGCUUGUGACUGCAAGGCUGGAGUGCGGCAGAGGGGGAUGGAAUUCCGCGUGUAGCAGUGAAAUGCGUAGAUAUGCGGAGGAACACCGAUGGCGAAGGCAAUCCCCUGGGCCUGCACUGACGCUCAUGCACGAAAGCGUGGGGAGCAAACAGGAUUAGAUACCCUGGUAGUCCACGCCCUAAACGAUGUCAACUGGUUGUUGGGUCUCUUCUGACUCAGUAAUGAAGCUAACGCGUGAAGUUGACCGCCUGGGGAGUACGGCCGCAAGGUU
This 374-nucleotide ribosomal RNA is filed under the name uncultured bacterium. RNAcentral's name for it is "bacterial SSU rRNA". It matches the Rfam family "Bacterial small subunit ribosomal RNA", at positions 521 to 895 of the family's 1533-position model. The record is from RNAcentral.